AGUGAACGCUGGCGGUAGGCCUAACACAUGCAAGUCGAACGGCAGCACAGUAAGAGCUUGCUCUUACGGGUGGCGAGUGGCGGACGGGUGAGGAAUACAUCGGAAUCUACUUUUUCGUGGGGGAUAACGUAGGGAAACUUACGCUAAUACCGCAUACGACCUACGGGUGAAAGCAGGGGAUCUUCGGACCUUGCGCGAUUGACUGAGCCGAUGUGGGAUUAGCUAGUUGGCGGGGUAAAGGCCCACCAAGGCGACGAUCCGUAGCUGGUCUGAGAGGAUGGUCAGCCACACUGGAACUGAGACACGGUCCAGACUCCUACGGGAGGCAGCAGUGGGGAAUAUUGGACGAUGGGCGCAAGCCUGAUCCAGCCAUACCGCGUGGGUGAAGAAGGCCUUCGGGUUGUAAAGCCCUUUUGUUGGGAAAGAAAAGCAGCAGGUUAAUACCCCGCUGUUCUGACGGUACCCAAAGAAUAAGCACCGGCUAACUUCGUG
Molecule: ribosomal RNA, 492 nt
Filed under: uncultured bacterium
Lineage: Bacteria
Description: partial 16S ribosomal RNA
Rfam family: Bacterial small subunit ribosomal RNA
Source: RNAcentral